UUCCUGAGGCAUUUCUUUCUUUAUACCUCUGCCAAACUUGGUGGCGGCACCACCUCCAAGUUUGGCAGACCUAAUAAUGGCGCUUCCCGAUCUUUCCAACCCUUUUGGCCUAUAUAUGCUUAAGGUGUAUAUAUAUAUAUAUAUAUAUAUAUAUAUAUAUAUAUAUAUAUAUAUAUAUAUAUAUAUAUGUAUAUGUGGCACACAGGGUGAAGCCAGGCAAAACAAGAAAUCACCUCAAAGUAAUCAAAGAGACAAGAGCAAAUAUAUAUAUAUAUUAUAUAUUGUAAGUACACAUUAGUUCUAAUUCCAUGAAAAUCAAUUUGUAUAGUAUUCUUCCUCUUUAGGGUAUUCUUAAUUAUUUUGUGUUUUCUUGUCUAAGAGUUAUGCUCGAGGACAUUCUGAAUAUUAAUUUAUCUUUUCUUUCUUGGAGAUUCUGGUGUAGUAUUAGGUUUUACUGAUUCAAAACGAUUACGACAACUGUUUGGAUUCUUGGAUCUACCAUUGAUUGUAAUAUUCAGGUAAUAUAUUAUUCAUUAUUAGUUACUUGGUUCUGAGUUCUUCUAAACAUUAUGAUUAUUCUUGUAAAUCGUAUGAAAGUGAUCUUAUUGUUUGCACUCUCUUUUGUGAGUUAUUUAUCUUUAUGACUACAACUGAUCUAUGUCAUCCUUCAACACCUAAUUCAGAUUCCAAAAGUGUUUAUUACUCGAAUCAAUGUUUCUCCAUAAAUUAAGGAGUUAGCCAUAGGUAAAAAAAGAAAAGAAGAAAAAAAGGAAAUUAAUUGCUCAAUGGAGAUUGUCUCAAAUCAAGCUAUGACCAUCAGGAUAGGCAAGAAAGAAACAUACAACAGACCAAUGGAAAGUAACAGAUUCUUAUUUUAUGGGAAGAUUUUAUACAAUACUUCAUAAUAUUGAGGAACAUGUCAACAUUCCACUGCAUAAUCAAUCCUUUGUCCAACAAUAUCGAGCUGAUUUACUUUUGAUAAUGAGGAACAUUAUAGUUUUGGCAAUGCUUCUAUAUAUGUAUAUAAAAAUAUAUAAGAACUAGUAUGUCGAGACUGUCACCUAUUUUCCUUUUCCUUAACUUUACAGAUGGUAUAAUAAUGUAAGGAUCAUUUAUUUUAUCCGACCUGAUCGAAUAUUUGAUUUAUUUAGUAGGAUACUAAAAUGAUUUGGGUAUAUUUCAAGUACAGAAGAAAGCACGUCUGUCGGACCUCUAACAAAAUUAAUUAAUUAAAUUGCAAGCAUAAACCUUGAAUACCGUAGAUUUCUGAAACUGUGCAAUAACCUUAUAAGAAAACAAAGAAAGAGAGGUAACGACCAUGGACAGGAAUGGGAUCUCCCAAUUGCCUAAUCAUCUCAUUCAUCACAUAUUAAUAUCAUUCUUACCUGCAACAGAUUUAGUAGGUACCUCUCAAGACAUGGCAAUAAGCAUGGUUGUCUGUUCUCAUUUACAUUUCCGAUAGUACAUUGUUUAGAGAAAAGAAAUCAUUGUAUCGAAAUCCCAUAAAACUCGAAAGAAACAAAGGAUUUUUAUUCAUGUAAGUUAGUUAAGAUACAAUAUGAAGAUGAACAUGCCUCUCGUAUUGAUUAUUGUAUACAAGUAGUGCUGUGGCCUGCAAAAGAACAGCCUCAAAGUGCCUGAUUUUUGCAUUCUUGCCACCAGAGAAAGACGCGUCGUAUUCUUUUCCUGAUAAUAUCUUCGCUUUUGUUGCCAAUUCAUUAACUAUCUUGAGGUUAAACAGAUGCAAGAUUGACAAGGCAUCACUUGGUAAUGCUAUCAAGUUGGUUUCUUUCUAAGAGUUGUCUCUUAACGAAGAGUGAUGCUUCCAAAUGAAUAUUUGUUCAUUCCUUAAUUAUUAUGUAUCAUAUAUAUACAUAUGCGUAUCUCUUUAAUCUGUGCAUGAGUAUUGAUGUGUAUUUGCUUUAUGACUGCCUCCCAACUGUCUUUAAUCCAGCUUCACAAGCAUUCAAUGCUAUCGGCAUUAUGUAGUACAGUACAAC
This 2000-nucleotide long non-coding RNA is filed under the name Ricinus communis (castor bean). RNAcentral's name for it is "long non-coding RNA (RCOM_LNC000669)". The record is from RNAcentral. Lineage: Eukaryota; Viridiplantae; Streptophyta; Magnoliopsida; Malpighiales; Euphorbiaceae.